GUGUCAGCCGCCGCGGUAAUACGGAGGGGGCUAGCGUUGUUCGGAAUUACUGGGCGUAAAGCGCGCGUAGGCGGGCUGUUAAGUCAGGGGUGAAAUCCCGGGGCUCAACCCCGGAACUGCCUUUGAUACUGGCAGCCUAGAGUUCGAGAGAGGUGAGUGGAAUUCCGAGUGUAGAGGUGAAAUUCGUAGAUAUUCGGAGGAACACCAGUGGCGAAGGCGGCUCACUGGCUCGAUACUGACGCUGAGGUGCGAAAGCGUGGGGAGCAAACAGGGUUAGAUACCCUGGUAGUCCACGCCGUAAACGAUGAGUGCCAGACGUCGGGCGGCUUGCCGUUCGGUGUCGCAGCUAACGCAUUAAGCACUCCGCCUGGGGAGUACGGCCGCAAGGUUAAACUCAAAUGAAUUGACGGGG
This 412-nucleotide ribosomal RNA is filed under the name uncultured prokaryote. RNAcentral describes it as "bacterial SSU rRNA". It matches the Rfam family "Bacterial small subunit ribosomal RNA", at positions 505 to 918 of the family's 1533-position model. The record is from RNAcentral.